This 468-nucleotide ribosomal RNA is filed under the name uncultured bacterium. RNAcentral describes it as "partial 16S ribosomal RNA". It matches the Rfam family "Bacterial small subunit ribosomal RNA", at positions 28 to 507 of the family's 1533-position model. The record is from RNAcentral.
GACGAACGCUGGCGGCGUGCUUAACACAUGCAAGUCGAACGGAAAGGCCCUGCUUUUGUGGGGUGCUCGAGUGGCGAACGGGUGAGUAACACGUGAGUAACCUGCCCUUGACUUUGGGAUAACUUCAGGAAACUGGGGCUAAUACCGGAUAGGAGCUCCUGCUGCAUGGUGGGGGUUGGAAAGUUUCGGCGGUUGGGGAUGGACUCGCGGCUUAUCAGCUUGUUGGUGGGGUAGUGGCUUACCAAGGCUUUGACGGGUAGCCGGCCUGAGAGGGUGACCGGCCACAUUGGGACUGAGAUACGACCCAGACUCCUACGGGAGGCGGCAGUGGGGAAUAUUGCACAAUGGGCGGAAGCCUGAUGCAGCAACGCCGCGUGCGGGAUGACGGCCUUCGGGUUGUAAACCGCUUUCGCCUGUGACGAAGCGUGAGUGACGGUAAUGGGUAAAGAAGCACCGGCUAACUACGUG